AAAAUUCUACUCACAUCUUUUCUUAUUUUGAGGUGAAGCUAUUAUUAUAAUUUUAAGUGUAAACUUCAAAUACCACUCUUGCAGUUUCACAUUUUUUUCAUUUUAGUAUCAUGUGGUUUAAAGUAUAGAGAAAACUUCAAAAAUCCUCCCGGUGGUUUCGUAGUUUCUCACUUUGCCCCCCUGUGGUUUUAAAUGUAUCAAUUUGCCCCCCUGUGGUUUCGUUUUUAUUUUUUCGGCAGCUUUUUCGUUAAUAUUUCAUUAAAUUAUAUACAAAAAAACUUCAGAUUCCUAUCUAAAUUUAUCAAAUAUUCACUUUAGUACCCUUUAAUUUAACUUUAUCACUGAUUUAAGAAAAAAGAUAAUGAAAUUGAUAAGAAAAAGAGAAAAAAGAAACCAUAGGAGGGCAAAUUGAUACAUUUUAAACCACAGGGGGACAAAGUCAGAAACUACGAAACCACACGGGAGGUUUUUGAAGUUUUUCCUAAAGUAUAUCAAGUUAGUGCCCUGUAGUUUCAUUUUUAUCUUUUCGUCAGCUUUUCUGUUAAUAUUUCGUUAAAUUAUAUACAAAAAAAUUUCAGAUAUCCUAUAUAGGUUUGUCGAAUAUUCACUUUAAUACCCUUCAGCUUUAACUUUGUUACUGAUUUAACGAAAAAAAUUAGUGAAAUCGAAUAUUCACUUUAAACUAUAGGGUAAUAAAGUAAGAAAGUGUGAAACCACAUGAAUGGUAUUUGAAAUAUUUUCCACUUUUAAGCUACAAAUCUCAUCUAUAGAGUCCGGCUGUAAUGCUUUUACCAGCACCAAGCAUUUGGUGCUUGUAAAUUUUUUACUGUUAGAUCUACGCUUUUGAUCAUUUUCACCCGUUAGAUUAUACUAUUCAACCAACCACCCACUCAACUUUAGGGGGCCCACAUAAUUAAUCCUAACCGCACAUCCCUUAAUUUAAGGGUCGAAAACUUACAAGUACCAAUGACUUGAUAUUUUUAAAAGCAUAGGAGCUCAAUUCCUCAUCUAUAAUCAAUAGAAUUUUAUGUUUUUUU
RNAcentral lists this long non-coding RNA (1037 nucleotides) under Ananas comosus (pineapple). Its description in RNAcentral is "long non-coding RNA (ACOM_LNC002516)". The record is from RNAcentral. Lineage: Eukaryota; Viridiplantae; Streptophyta; Magnoliopsida; Poales; Bromeliaceae.